This 468-nucleotide ribosomal RNA is filed under the name uncultured bacterium. RNAcentral's name for it is "partial 16S ribosomal RNA". It matches the Rfam family "Bacterial small subunit ribosomal RNA", at positions 28 to 507 of the family's 1533-position model. The record is from RNAcentral.
GACGAACGCUGGCGGCGUGCUUAACACAUGCAAGUCGAACGGAAAGGCCCUGCUUUUGUGGGGUGCUCGAGUGGCGAACGGGUGAGUAACACGUGAGUAACCUGCCCUUGACUUUGGGAUAACUUCAGGAAACUGGGGCUAAUACCGGAUAGGAGCUCCUGCUGCAUGGUGGGGGUUGGAAAGUUUCGGCGGUUGGGGAUGGACUCGCGGCUUAUCAGCUUGUUGGUGGGGUAGUGGCUGACCAAGGCUUUGACGGGUAGCCGGCCUGAGCGGGUGACCGGCCACAAUGGGACUGAGAUACGGCCCAGACUCCUACGGGAGGCAGCAGUGGGGAAUAUUGCACAAUGGGCGGAAGCCUGAUGCAGCAGCGCCGCGUGCGGGAUGACGGCCUUCGGGGUGUAAACCGCUUUCGCCUGUGACGAAGCGUGAGUGACGGUAAUGGGUAAAGAAGCACCGGCUAACUACGUG